AGAGUUUGAUCCUGGCUCAGAUUGAACGCUGGCGGCAUGCCUUACACAUGCAAGUCGAACGGCAGCACGAGAGCUUGCUCUUGGUGGCGAGUGGCGAACGGGUGAGUAAUAUAUCGGAACGUACCCUAGAGUGGGGGAUAACGUAGCGAAAGUUACGCUAAUACCGCAUACGAUCUACGGAUGAAAGUGGGGGAUCGCAAGACCUCAUGCUCAUGGAGCGGCCGAUAUCUGAUUAGCUAGUUGGUGGGGUAAAAGCUCACCAAGGCGACGAUCAGUAGCUGGUCUGAGAGGACGACCAGCCACACUGGAACUGAGACACGGUCCAGACUCCUACGGGAGGCAGCAGUGGGGAAUUUUGGACAAUGGGCGCAAGCCUGAUCCAGCAAUGCCGCGUGAGUGAAGAAGGCCUUCGGGUUGUAAAGCUCUUUUGUCAGGGAAGAAACGGUGGACUCUAAUACAGAUCACUAAUGACGGUACCUGAAGAAUAAGCACCGGCUAACUACGUGCCAGCAGCCGCGGUAAUACGUAGGGUGCAAGCGUUAAUCGGAAUUACUGGGCGUAAAGCGUGCGCAGGCGGUUGUGCAAGACAGAUGUGAAAUCCCCGGGCUCAACCUGGGAAUUGCAUUUGUGACUGCACGGCUAGAGUGUGUCAGAGGGGGGUAGAAUUCCACGUGUAGCAGUGAAAUGCGUAGAGAUGUGGGGGAAUACCGAUGGCGAAGGCAGCCCCCUGGGAUAACACUGACGCUCAUGCACGAAAGCGUGGGGAGCAAACAGGAUUAGAUACCCUGGUAGUCCACGCCCUAAACGAUGUCUACUAGUUGUCGGGUCUUAAUUGACUUGGUAACGCAGCUAACGCGUGAAGUAAACCGCCUGGGGAGUACGGUCGCAAGAUUAAAACUCAAAGGAAUUGACGGGGACCCGCACAAGCGGUGGAUGAUGUGGAUUAAUUCGAUGCAACGCGAAAAACCUUACCUACCCUUGACAUGUCUGGAAUCCUUGAGAGAUCAGGGAGUGCUCGAAAGAGAAUCAGAACACAGGUGCUGCAUGGCUGUCGUCAGCUCGUGUCGUGAGAUGUUGGGUUAAGUCCCGCAACGAGCGCAACCCUUGUCAUUAGUUGCUACGAAAGGGCACUCUAAUGAGACUGCCGGUGACAAACCGGAGGAAGGUGGGGAUGACGUCAAGUCCUCAUGGCCCUUAUGGGUAGGGCUUCACACGUCAUACAAUGGUACAUACAGAGGGCCGCCAACCCGCGAGGGGGAGCUAAUCCCAGAAAGUGUAUCGUGGUCCGGAUUGUAGUCUGCAACUCGACUACAUGAAGUUGGAAUCGCUAGUAAUCGCGGAUCAGCAUGUCGCGGUGAGUACGUUCCCGGGUCUUGUACACACCGCCCGUCACACCAUGGGAGCGGGUUUCACCAGAAGUGGGUAGCCUAACCGCAAGGAGGGCGCUCACCACGGUGGGAUUCGUGACUGGGGUGAAGUCGUAACAAGGUA
This 1491-nucleotide ribosomal RNA is filed under the name metagenome. Its description in RNAcentral is "bacterial SSU rRNA". It matches the Rfam family "Bacterial small subunit ribosomal RNA". The record is from RNAcentral.